CGGCGUCCUGUCCGCAGGUCCCCUCGGGCUGUGGCCGCAGCGGCAACUGCUGGGUUGCGGAGUCCUGGCUGGCUGAGGGAAUGGACACUGAAAGGUGCCCGGAGACCCUGGCACCCGCGUCAGAUGCCGGCCGGCGAGGGUUCUGAGAGAGAGAGACCUUGAGCAGCGCUGCGCGCGUCCUCAGCUCUGCGAGCCCCCUCUGGAGCGGCGGGGAGGUUAUUAAAAUGAAGACUGUUUCCAUGCUGGCCCCCAUGAAAGGGAUUCCUGUGUAUCUCAAGCAACAAAGAGAGCUGUGGAGCAAGGAGAUUCCCUGUGUAAUCGGGAGCAUUGGAUGUGAAUCCCAGGUCUGGCAUGGGAACCUUGGUGAGUGAUGCUGAGUGGAAUGUUACGUAUCACCAUCAACAUCAGCAUCCAUCCCACCACCAUCAUCACAACCACCACCACCACCACCAUCAUCAUCAUCAUCAUCAUCAUCAU
This 477-nucleotide long non-coding RNA is filed under the name Gorilla gorilla gorilla (western lowland gorilla). RNAcentral describes it as "lncRNA (ENSGGOG00000044526.1)". The record is from RNAcentral. Lineage: Eukaryota; Metazoa; Chordata; Mammalia; Primates; Hominidae.